Molecule: non-coding RNA, 100 nt
Filed under: Methylocella silvestris
Lineage: Bacteria; Pseudomonadati; Pseudomonadota; Alphaproteobacteria; Hyphomicrobiales; Beijerinckiaceae
Also listed under: 1 other name
Description: TPP sequence
Rfam family: TPP riboswitch aptamer (THI element)
About the family: Vitamin B(1) in its active form thiamin pyrophosphate (TPP) is an essential coenzyme that is synthesised by coupling of pyrimidine and thiazole moieties in bacteria. The previously detected thiamin-regulatory element, thi box was extended, resulting in a new, highly conserved RNA secondary structure, the THI element, which is widely distributed in eubacteria and also occurs in some archaea.
Source: RNAcentral
CAAUUCGCCUUGGGGUGCUGCCGGAAACGGCGGCUGAGAUCACACCCAUUGAACCUGAAUCUGGAUAAUGCCAGCGCAGGGAUCGGCACUUCAGCAACGA